GGAUGAGUAGCUCAGUUGGAUAGAGCAUCGGUUUCCUAAACCGAGGGCCGUGAGUUCGAGCCUCACCUCAUUCA
RNAcentral lists this transfer RNA (74 nucleotides) under Segatella copri. Its description in RNAcentral is "tRNA-Arg". It matches the Rfam family "tRNA". From Rfam's summary of the family: Transfer RNA (tRNA) molecules are approximately 80 nucleotides in length. Their secondary structure includes four short double-helical elements and three loops (D, anti-codon, and T loops). Further hydrogen bonds mediate the characteristic L-shaped molecular structure. tRNAs have two regions of fundamental functional importance: the anti-codon, which is responsible for specific mRNA codon recognition, and the 3' end, to which the tRNAs corresponding amino acid is attached (by aminoacyl-tRNA synthetases). tRNAs cope with the degeneracy of the genetic code in two manners: having more than one tRNA (with a specific anti-codon) for a particular amino acid; and 'wobble' base-pairing, i.e. permitting non-standard base-pairing at the 3rd anti-codon position. Lineage: Bacteria; Pseudomonadati; Bacteroidota; Bacteroidia; Bacteroidales; Prevotellaceae. The record is from RNAcentral.